UUAAGAGCGAUGAUGAAAAAGAGUAGGCGAUAGGAAUGUUUCAGAGAGCGGAUGGUUGCUGUGAGUCCGUACGGGAAUAUCGUUGAAUGGAUUUUGGAGCUUCUAGGUUGAAAGAAUAGUAGGCCUGGCGGGUGUCUUACCGUUAAAAGAGACUAUGUAUCGAAACGGCUUCACAGUUUCCGUACAGACUAAGUGCGUUUGCUAGAUGUAAACGAAUGAAGGUGGCACCACGGGUUACUCGUCCUUUUU
RNAcentral lists this non-coding RNA (249 nucleotides) under Halalkalibacter krulwichiae. Its description in RNAcentral is "Bacillus krulwichiae T-box sequence". It matches the Rfam family "T-box leader". From Rfam's summary of the family: Uncharged tRNA acts as the effector for transcription antitermination of genes in the T-box leader family. Lineage: Bacteria; Bacillati; Bacillota; Bacilli; Caryophanales; Bacillaceae. The record is from RNAcentral.